This 407-nucleotide ribosomal RNA is filed under the name uncultured Oscillospira sp. RNAcentral's name for it is "bacterial SSU rRNA". It matches the Rfam family "Bacterial small subunit ribosomal RNA", at positions 355 to 776 of the family's 1533-position model. Lineage: Bacteria; Bacillati; Bacillota; Clostridia; Eubacteriales; Oscillospiraceae. The record is from RNAcentral.
UGGGGAAUAUUGGGCAAUGGGCGCAAGCCUGACCCAGCAACGCCGCGUGAAGGAAGAAGGCUUUCGGGUUGUAAACUUCUUUUAUGAGGGACGAAACAAAUGACGGUACCUCAUGAAUAAGCCACGGCUAACUACGUGCCAGCAGCCGCGGUAAUACGUAGGUGGCAAGCGUUAUCCGGAUUUACUGGGUGUAAAGGGCGUGUAGGCGGGACUGCAAGUCAGAUGUGAAAAUUAUGGGCUCAACCCAUAACCUGCAUUUGAAACUGUAGUUCUUGAGUGCUGGAGAGGCAAUCGGAAUUCCGUGUGUAGCGGUGAAAUGCGUAGAUAUACGGAGGAACACCAGUGGCGAAGGCGGAUUGCUGGACAGUAACUGACGCUGAGGCGCGAAAGCGUGGGGAGCAAACAGG